This 301-nucleotide ribosomal RNA is filed under the name uncultured bacterium. RNAcentral describes it as "partial 16S ribosomal RNA". It matches the Rfam family "Bacterial small subunit ribosomal RNA", at positions 509 to 807 of the family's 1533-position model. The record is from RNAcentral.
CAGCAGCCACGGGAAUACGUAGGGUGCAAGCGUUAAUCGGAAUUACUGGGCGUAAAGCGUGCGCAGGCGGUUCGCUAAGACAGAUGUGAAAUCCCCGGGCUUAACCUGGGAACUGCAUUUAUGACUGGCGGGCUAGAGUAUGGCAGAGGGGGGUAGAAUUCCACGUGUAGCAGUGAAAUGCGUAGAGAUGUGGAGGAAUACCGAUGGCGAAGGCAGCCCCCUGGGCCAAUACUGACGCUCAUGCACGAAAGCGUGGGGAGCAAACAGGAUUAGAUACCCCAGUAGUCCCUGUCUCUUAUAC